RNAcentral lists this transfer RNA (76 nucleotides) under Cytophagaceae bacterium. RNAcentral's name for it is "tRNA-Lys". It matches the Rfam family "tRNA". From Rfam's summary of the family: Transfer RNA (tRNA) molecules are approximately 80 nucleotides in length. Lineage: Bacteria; Pseudomonadati; Bacteroidota; Cytophagia; Cytophagales; Cytophagaceae. The record is from RNAcentral.
GGGCCGGUAGCUCAGUUGGUAGAGCAGCUGACUCUUAAUCAGCGGGUCACAGGUUCGAACCCUGUCCGGCUCACCA